Long non-coding RNA from Apis cerana (Asiatic honeybee), 8316 nucleotides. RefSeq lists it as uncharacterized. The record is from RefSeq and is a predicted model, not a curated record. NCBI's taxonomy places the organism in Eukaryota, Metazoa, Arthropoda, Insecta, Hymenoptera, Apidae.
AUAACCUAUGCAACCUACCUAUUCCUUAUUAAGGGAAAUAAAUGAUUUGUUCGUGACUAAUAUAAAUAUCGGAGAGAAAAAAAUAAUCUUUUGUUUCAACAAGAUUUUGUGCCUGUCCUUUUUUAGCUGUCUGCGGUCUAAAGUUAUUUUCAGACCGUUCUCACUUCAGCGAGUUGCACGUUCCUGUUGUUAGCAAUAUGAAAAUUGGAACUUCCAUAGCGGUAAACGAAAGAAAGAAAUCUCGUAGAACGUUAUGAAAUUACGCGACAAUGAUAAUCGUGCUUAAGUUUUAAAGCAAAGCAGAACGUUCACUAGAAUUCCAUACACACAGAUUGCGUUUAGUCAUUCGUGCAGUAAGAAAUAACUACGUCCGAGUCAUUCUAAUUUGAACACUCGGGGCCACGAACGAGCGAUAAAAUGUGUGCCGGCUACUAAAUGCAUUAUCAUCCGGAAGUUGACGUGUCCUUGAUACCAGAUCAACCAUACGUUUUUACCGGGCAUCGACGUGCCUCGAAACCGGAAAAUAGUUUGUGAAAACGUUAACCGAUUUCUAAAAUACCGAGAAACGCGAGACUUUAACCACGAGGCAAGUCCAACGUACGUGGCGCGUGUGUCAGAUUGGAAAAGCUAUUUUCGAGUCCGCUUAAAUUCCUCUUUCCUAGGUCUGGGUUACUGUCUAAAAAUUAGGAAAGUUAUUUUCAAACCGAUUCGAUAUAUUGUCGCCAUAUUUAGAUUAAAUAUUCUUAAACUGUAAUUCGCGAAAUCGUAGGAGUCGUAAUAGAGUCGUAACUAUCGAUAAAUGUCGAUAAUACUGGUAUAUUAUCGAUAAAUGUCGAUAAUAUCGGUAUGUUAUCGAUAAUUCGAUAUAUCGACAAUAUAUCGAUAAUAAAUGAAAGUAACUAAAAUAUUUUUUUUUAUUCAAAUUUAUUAUUAAAGAUUAUUUUUAUUGCAAUUUAUUAUAUGUAAUAUUAUUUUUAGAUUUUAAUAAUAAUUUUCAAUAAAAAAAAUAGGAACUUCAUUCACUUCUAUCUAUUAAUGAUAUUUUAACGAUAUUAUCGAUAUAUCGAAAACUAUGAAUGUCGAUAAAAUAUCGAUAAUCAAUAGUCACAACUCUAAUCCGAAAAUGGUGGUUCGUUUUAAUCAUGUGUGAAUAAUUAAUUUUUAAAAAUGUAAUUGUUGCAAGGAAUCUUCGUUUAAAACGUCAACAAAAAGAAAAAAGAAAGAAAAAGAGAUAGAGAUUGAUGAAAUUGAAAAGUGUCUGGACAAAGUAUUUCCACACGAUUCACGAUUCUUCUUUCUAGAAUCUAGGUUAGUAAAGGAUAAUUCAUCGAGCAUUGCACCGAACUUCUCUAACUAACCGAGAAACUCGAAGAAAUUAAGUGCGCUAGAUUUAAAGAAUAUAUAACCGUAUUUUACGCUGUUCGGAAUGCUUUUAAUGAAAAUCAACGGUGCAUCGAGGGAAACUGCCACACGGUAAAACGGUACUCCAUUUGUACGAGUAACACGAGCAUGUAUCGUUAAAAUUACGACGCAUUAAGGCGAGGAACGUGCCCGUGAUAAUUUAUAUGCAGUAGAACGAACGUGUCUGGGAUAGAUGUGUGACGAGCACGCGGAAUCAUUCCUCUAGGCUUCACAUGCGCCAACUGAUUAAGGGACAACGAUAAUCGGCCGCGGCAAUUAAACUCUGUCAGAUUCAAAAGAAAUCACGUCUUUGUAAAGCUUUCCGUGCGCUUCAUUUUCUCGAUCAUGGAUCAGAAUACAUCACGCGAUACAAGAAUGGAUUAAAGCGAUGUAUGAUCUCGAGUUAAGGAUAUCACUACUUUCGAAUAUGGAAUCAAUGCUCCAACUUAAAUGAUUCUUCUUAGAAAAUAUAAUGCAAUAUUGAUUAUCUAAAUCACUGUUUUUCAAUUACUGUAGAUAACGACCUCCUAAGAAGAUCGUGAAAUAAUAGUCGUUAUAGUUAUUUUUAUUUGCAAGUAUUUAUGUAAGAUUAUAUUUACACAGAAAAUUUUUUGAUGACAAUUUUUAACAUUCAUAGAAAUCACGUACAGGGUGUUUCUGAAAUCAAGAAAUAAAAUAAAAAUGCAUUAGAAAAAGAAGAGGAUAGGAAGGAAAUUAAGUUUAAAGAUUCGUUAGAAAUAAAAUAUGAUGUUCUUAUUAACACAAAGAAGGAUGCAUCAACAUAAAGCGUUUUGUCUCAAAAAACACUAAAGACAUUUGAUCUAAAUAAGAAAACAAUUCUAUAUUAUCAGCUUUCUUUUCUCCAAUAAUCGUUUUGUCUCUUAUUAAAUAUUUGUUAUCAAAUAUGAGGCGAUAAAAAAGACGAAAAUAAGCUCACUUCGAGACACCCGAUAGAACAAAAGUGUGCAACAGUAGAUGGCAUUCACGGAACAAACAAGGGGGCCCUUUAAUACAAUAUUACUGGCUACAUCUUGUGUCCGUGAACUCAUGGGGUGCGUGAGACACGCUCAUUAUACAGGAUGUCCUAUUGAAAUCGUUAACCUCGGAUACUACGCCCUUUGUUAAUUUAUAUAAUAAAAAAGAGAGGCAUCGAUGUCGGACAAAGACAGCCAACGAACAUAAAUCUCACGCAAUAUCAAGAAGAAACUUCUAAUUCACCUAAGUAUUUCUUACCUGAGUUUAGCCGCAUAUUCCACCUCGAUGGCGCAUCGAUCGCGAAUGAAAUGGCCGUACCUUUCGAGGAACUCUAUCCCUUUUUGCGUAUGCAGGGAUAGAUUCUCGUACUGGUCCUGUAACAAAAAGACAAAAAUAAAAUGAAUGGACAUGCUUUAAGAUAUUCAGAAUAUCGAAAAGGGGAAAAAAGCAAAGUUUUAUCGUACUAUUAAUUUCUAAUGCUUUUUUUUAAUGGUAUUUCAGCUAUCUAAAAUCUACGAAAAAUCUAAAUUAUUGAUUUUAUAAAUAUUUUUUUAAAAAUAAAUUUAAUUAUAAUGUUUUGUACUGGAGUAAACUGAAAGAAUAUCAUUCCAUGAGCCAAGUAUUCAGUGCAGUCGACGACUGAGAAAACCUCUUGACACGAACACACUCUCGUACACACAUACACGUCACACACCUCGGGACAAUGAGAGAUUUCGCAAGGCUGCCGGUAGAAAGAUUUCUGGCCGUUUAGCAGCUCGGCACGAAAAGUGAAACUGGACUCUGUUGCCGCAACGUGCACCCGCGACUGGUCGAACACCAUCAGACCAAGGAUCCAUCGGUUCUACCCAUAUUAUCAGGCACAUGAAUCGCCUCUACCAUACAAUCUCGACUUGUUACUUCUUCCUCUGACGAAUUUUCAUUCAUAUCCUGACCGAGCCUCCUGAAUGAAACAUGUAAAAUACACGUCACGUGGAGACAUCUUUGCACGAUUUACCUACAAUCGAUAAAACACGUAUUACAUAUAACAUGAUCGUAAAUCGAAGCACUGUAUACAGUGCCAUCUAUAAAUGAUAUACAGAUCGGAACAUCGUAUUUUACGCGUUUCAACAAGAGGAUCCGAGUCGAGCAACGCCACGCGUGCCAACCGUCAUCAAUCGAAAAUGUCUGAUUCAUUCACGCAAAUGGAGAGGAAACGCUCUACUUGUUCUCUCUGAUCGUGGAAUAUCGUAUUCUCGGCUGAAGAACGAUUCGCCUCGCGUGAUGAACCGAAAACGAUUAACUAACAUAAAACGGCUACGACACGAAGAAGUUGCUCAAGGUUCUGGGAACGCGAAAGAAAACGACGUGGCUGGUGUUACGGAAGCUUAAUCGUUCAAGGACGAUCCUGGCCUUUCAACGUUUACGCUUAGUCGCGGUUUAAGGACAAAUCUAAGGUAUCGAGCAUCGACAACGUUUAACUCGGAUCGUGUUCAGGGAAAGAGAGUGGAAAGAAUGGAGGGGGGGGGGAGAGGCUGAUCGAGUCGCCUAUACUCUCUUGGCAUUCGAAACGCGUUACUUUCAUUUCUAACAAGUAGCCAUUCAAGGGCCACGCACUGAUUGUGAGACGUUGGUAGUCACACGCGUCCAUGUGUGUACAGGAGAGAGAUAUGGUUGAUCGAUGGCUCUUUCCUUUCCUGAGAUCCCCAUCUCGAGGAUCCAACCGUGCAAAAAGGAAACCGGGAAAAGAAAAAAAAAAACGAAACGAGAUCUCUUGACGCAUCGAUGUCACAUGUCUAGGAUAUAUCUGGUCUCUCAGGACGCAUUAAGGUCGAUAGAUGAAAAACGCCACGACCGCCGCCCUAUGACUCACCCCUUGGGCUCGAUCUUUUUCAAAGAGGUGCACUUGCACACACCGGCCUAACCUUGCCAAGCGCGGACUAUUCAGGUCGGGUUAGGUCAUCCCCUGGAGAUAAAUACAGACUUUCCAUUAUAUGUGUACAGGAUGAAUCAGGUAUGAGUAGGCAGGUACGUGGUGAAAAAAAUGAGUCGAAAAGGGGGAAAUUACAUUUUUUUUUUCUUCUCAUGAUUCGAAACUCUUUUACACAAAUUAUAAUUUGUGUGAAAUAAAUUACGUUUUAUUUUUUUCACGGUAUGAACAGAACAUUCGUAAUUUAUUUCUAUUUGUUUCUAGAUUUUAGAAUUGGCGAUUUUACAUUAAUUCGUUUCAAUUCUUUGCGAGAUAUUUUUGCAUGCAGUCUCUCGGUCGGAUGUAUCACUUAUCCUGGGUCACCCUGUAUAUGUGACAGGUACCUUUGUGGGACUACCUGCCGCCGCUGCUACUUUCUUCUUACUUUUACCAGGCCUCGAGUUUCGGGCUUUCAAACUGGUCCACGACAUCCUCGAGCAAAUAUCGCGACCAAUAUUUAAAGUCGUAUAUUUUUUCUCUUCCUUCAAUAACUCUUUCCGAUUUAAAGAAUCGUUGAAAAGAUUUUUCGAAGGCAAUUAUAAAUGAGUAGGAAAAAAUAUAUUUACAUAUCUUGGCAUCGCGACCAAUAUCUCGAUCUCUUCGUCUUUUUUGAUUGAAAAAUCGUUAAGAAGGUUUUUUCAAUUAUAAUGACUACAAAAAAAUAAAGUAAUAUGCUUCUUUUUCCAAUAAAUCGUUUCUUAGAUAGACCACUUUUGCAAUAUAAAAUUCUUGUAUAGCCAUGUAAUAAUUAAUUAAUCAAGUUAAUUAAUACCACAAAAUAUUACAAUAAAUAUAAAAGCGAUGUGCAGAUAUUUUUUCGCAGCCAUUGCACACAUUUUAAAAUAUUACUGUAAUUCUCUUGUGCUACAUUUUCACGAAUAUUCCUUCUCGGUAUAACCGGUUUAACGUACCGCUUCAAACACUUUAAUCGAAUAAGAAAAAAAAAAGAAAGAAAGAAAGAAGGAUAAAAAAAAUUAAAAAAGGUAGUUCCUGAAACCUUGCGGAGAGAAGUUCAAAGAUAAAACCAGAAAGGGACGGUUAGAACAGGUCUAAGAAGCGCGUAACCUUUGAUUAACUGAAAUUCCUUUUCGUUCGCGUGCAACGGAAGUACAAUCCUGUCGAUGGUACCGAAAAAUGCUCGUCGAAAAUGCCCGACGAGGUUGGAAAUGUUUCCAAGAGCAGGUCGGCGUUAAUUAAUUCGAGAAGAGCGAGCUGGAAAAGCGUUGAGCCAGUGGGAAAAAGCGAGGAAGACGGGCACCGUGAAAAAUCAAUAGCCUGGGCUCGCAUAUACGCGCUAUUGCGAAAAGAAAAGAAGAAAAAACUCUAUCGUUUGAAAAAAAAUAAAAAGGAAAAGGAAACGAAACGUUGUAAAAAUAAUUUAGAUACAAGGGAACGCGCGAUAAGGGUACGGAGGGGGGGUCUCUCGGACAAGUGUGUAUUAUGAGUCAUGAAAUCGCGUUGGGGUGCUUUCGUACCCUCCACCACCACCUAUUGAUCCUGCAUUUCUGUAUACACACUCACGCGAUUCCAAAGGAGCGAUAGAGAGAAUCGGGGAAACGAGGGCGAUGGAAAGAGGAUGACGGGGGACAGACAGACAGAUAGAGGAAACACAGGCAGGAGAAAUUUGUCGUGCGAGAACACAAAUGGAUAUAUAAAUGCUACUUGAAAAGAUAUUCGUUCGAGGGAACGAACAGGAAGGAUUGUCGAUAAUACCAGUGAUCGUUGGGAUCGAAUACGAUGAUUUAAAUGAUGAAUCCCAACUAUUUCGAAGUUUUAAAUCUUUGAACUUAUAAAUUGAUGUAUAUGAUGUAUUUAUACUCUUUUGCGGAUCAUUGAUUCAGAUUUUGGAUAAGUAUUGAAGAUGUAGAAACAGCAGGAUGUCGGUCAAAUAUUGAUGAAGAGCAAUCGAAGAUUACAAACACUUCCACAAUUUCAAAAAAAAAACUGAGAAAAAGCAGUAUGAAAUUAUUGCUUCAACCUAAACGCAUUAAAAAUAAAAAUAUUUAUUAUUCACAGUGAAUUGAGUGAAUCUUUUUUCAAUUUUUGGGUAAAUCAUCCUCUCUUGCUGCAAGAUUUUCAAUUCAAUCUUUGAAUUCAAAUCGUUCGGAUCAAAUAAAAUAGACGGAUAAAAUAAACAGUGGAUAGACGAAAGAAAAGUGGGCCAAAGGAAAACAAUGCAAAGAGAGAUAUGCGAACGGUCCAUUGGCGUAUACGCAUCAAGACACGAGGAUAUUCCACACCUUUAUCUCUGUUCAUAAUCCGUCCCUGUGUACUAACCAGUGAAACAGGAGAACACGGUGGCUGCAUUUAAUAAGCAGACGUUGAACCAACACGCCAAGCGUACGAACGCCUUUAACGUCGUUGACUCGUGCGGUGCAUACGGGUGCACGCAACGUGUUCGAGGUGGUGCAUACUUAGUUAAAUGCACCCUGUGCGUGCACGCGCAAUCGCAUUGACAAAGAAGAAGGAAAAAAAAGGAAAGAAAAGUAUAGAAAAGACUAAUUGCCAGCACAGUCGCGAUACUCGUCGACGUUACAAAGCUGCAUGAUAGAAACGCUGAGAAUGCGCCGUUGUCUUUAACCCUUUUGCAUUCGAAGCGCGACUAUCACUCGCCAAUUCGAAUGGAAAUUCAGAGACUAAAUCGACGGAUAUAUGUUGCGAUAAACGUGCUAUUUAUCGUUUAGGAGCCUUGGCAACGGCUUUUUUAAAUAUUUUCCAUAAAUUUGGAAUACCGUUUCUUUUAUUUGUUUUUUUCAUUUUCUUUGUUGUUCUUCUUUAUUAUCUAUUCAAAGGCGAAUUAUAAUCAUCUAUGUUCAUUUUCUGCUGUUAUUUGUUUUAUUAUUUAUCAAGAGAUGAAAUUAAAAUACUUUGGUUCUCUUGCAUGUUUCUUAUAAAAUUAAUAUUUCAGAAUAAUAAGUCCUGGUAAAAAUUCUUUUAUUUCUGCUAUUUAUUUUUUCAAUUUCUUCCCUUAUUUAUUGUACCCUUUAUUUCCAUAUGUCUGAAAUCGAACAAUAAUUUCUAAAUUCAAUUCCAAAUGAGGUUGUGAAUUCCUCCCACGUUCCAAAAAUAUUUCUUUCUCGCGAGUUACCAUACGUAGGUAACACGUUUCACGAAAACUAAAAAAAAAAUAAAAUCAAAAUUAUAAAUAAAAGUAAAAUAUAUUUUUACAUCAUCAAUCUUUUUAACAUUUUUCGCAACAAACACGUUCCAAAUAUACCCAAUUCCCCAAAAUUCCCCUCGGGACAAAGGAAAAAAAAAUUAUCGAGCACAAAGAGUUAAUGCAACCCAACGUGAAUAAUCCGCAGAAAGAUACGCACAGUGCUUGCGGAUGUCUCGCGAAAAUAGCAUGCUUAAACUCGGCGAACAGAGGAAUGGCUGUCGCCGUGUGCGCGUUGCAACCAAACUAUAAAACCUCAAAUUCAGAUUUCGCUCCUUAAAUUAUUCUUAAGGGUCGAAACGCACUCCAUGAUCCCCCUCCCUAUCGGAGGAUUGUUCGUUUUCGCGAAACGGGACAGGGUCGAGUCGGCGACGCGAAAAAAUACAUCCAGAAUUAGGUACCCUUGAAUCUCUUCUUUGAAACAGCAUACGGGGAACGAAAGCGAGUGCACUCGUCACUCAAACGCCGAAAUUCAAACAACUUUCUUCCCCCAGCCUUUCUCUUCGAUGACCUUCCGAGGACGUCGUUCCUCCACGCCAGUGUACACAUAUGUAUAUACGCCAUCGUUCGAGAGUAUCCGGACAUAUGUUCAUUUCUGACGGAAAGUUAUUUUAAUUUUCAAAUUGCUUUGGAAAGACAAAAGAAAUUGCAGUGAUUCCUCCUUUUUUCUAAUUCAAUUAAUCCUGUUGAUUAGUACGAUACGAAAAGAAAUUCUUACUAUCUUAAAUUGUUUCUAUUUCUGUAUUCUCGCCAUUUCAUUCAGAUAAAUUUAUAAAUUAUUUAUAUCUAUUAAAUUAUAAUAUAUAUGAAUAAUAAUAAAUACGAGUUCAAUAUUUGA